UACGUAGGGUGCAAGCGUUGUCCGGAAUUAUUGGGCGUAAAGAGCGUGUAGGCGGCCAGGUAGGUCCGUUGUGAAAACUCGAGGCUCAACCUCGGACUUGCGGUGGGUACGGGCAGACUAGAGUGUGGUAGGGGAGACUGGAAUUCCUGGUGUAGCGGUGAAAUGCGCAGAUAUCAGGAGGAACACCGAUGGCGAAGGCGGCUUCUUGGGCCGUUUCUGACGCUGAGGCGCGAAAGCCAGGGGAGCGAACGGG
This 253-nucleotide ribosomal RNA is filed under the name uncultured bacterium. RNAcentral describes it as "partial 16S ribosomal RNA". It matches the Rfam family "Bacterial small subunit ribosomal RNA", at positions 524 to 776 of the family's 1533-position model. The record is from RNAcentral.